Molecule: long non-coding RNA, 466 nt
Organism: Oncorhynchus tshawytscha (Chinook salmon)
Lineage: Eukaryota; Metazoa; Chordata; Actinopteri; Salmoniformes; Salmonidae
Exons: 4
Source: RefSeq, a predicted model, not a curated record
AUUCAGAGCGCGCGAGAGGAGCAUUUUUCAAGCGCGAGUUCUCUCACUUCAUCUGAGAAUAAUGAAUGCCAAUAGCGCUACAGGUGUCAACACAAUGUGAUCAUCAGAUUCCAAACAAAGAUUACCUGUACUCUGCUGAAGUGUGCUGACAAGAAGGAAGAUUGAGCAGGAGCAAAGAUCCUAAUUUUCCAGAAUAUUUGGCCAUUGUGUACAAUGUACAGAACCACAACGUUUGUGGCAGACGCCCUCAGGCAUAGGGAUGUGGGGGCCAAAGCCAUAGAGACACUGACCCAGCUCUUUGAAAUCGGGCACUCCCCCUCAUCUGCCCUGACGGUCCUGAAGAACGACCUGCAGAUUUAGUACAGAGAGGACUACAUCUUCACCUCUGUCGAGACCUCCAGUUCUGUUACCGAAAUUCGGCUUGUCACCAAAAGCAGUCACAAACUUCUACAGAUGCACAAUCGAG